CGUGCCUAACAACAUAGCAAGUCGAACGAAGCAAUUUUGGUUUGAGAUUCGUCAAGAACCGGGAUUGACUUAGUGGCGGACGGGUGAGUAAUGUAUGAGCAACCUGCCUUUCAGAGGGGGACAACAGUUGGAAACGACUGCUAAUACCGCAUAAUGUAUUUUGAGGGCAUCCUCGGGAUACCAAAGGAGCAAUCCGCUGAAAGAUGGGCUCAUAUCUGAUUAGUUAGUUGGCAGGGUAACGGCCUACCAAGACUGCGAUCAGUAGCCGGACUGAGAGGUUGAACGGCCACAUUGGGACUGAGAUACGGCCCAGACUCCUACGGGAGGCAGCAGUGGGGAAUAUUGGGCAAUGGGCGAAAGCCUGACCCAGCAACGCCGCGUGAAGGAAGAAGGUCUUCGGAUUGUAAACUUCUUUUAUGAGGGACGAAGGAAGUGACGGUACCUCAUGAAUAAGCCACGGCUAACUACGUGCCAGCAGCGGC
RNAcentral lists this ribosomal RNA (482 nucleotides) under uncultured bacterium. RNAcentral's name for it is "bacterial SSU rRNA". It matches the Rfam family "Bacterial small subunit ribosomal RNA", at positions 43 to 518 of the family's 1533-position model. The record is from RNAcentral.